This 189-nucleotide non-coding RNA is filed under the name Schleiferia thermophila. Lineage: Bacteria; Pseudomonadati; Bacteroidota; Flavobacteriia; Flavobacteriales; Schleiferiaceae. The record is from RNAcentral.
UACCUUUGCAGCGUCUGCAGGUGGCUGUAAAAAGCCUUAAUAGGGAAUGCGGUGCAAAUCCGCAACUGUACCCGCAGCUGUGAGCUUCAACAAAAAGGUCUGACAUCAGAAGCCACUGUUCUGCCAGCAGAAUGGGAAGGCAGUCUGACCGAAGCAAGUCAGAAGACCUGCCGCAGACAGUAAAUCAAC